RNAcentral lists this ribosomal RNA (406 nucleotides) under uncultured bacterium. Its description in RNAcentral is "partial 16S ribosomal RNA". It matches the Rfam family "Bacterial small subunit ribosomal RNA", at positions 30 to 526 of the family's 1533-position model. The record is from RNAcentral.
AUUGAACGCUGGCGGCCGGCCUAACACAUGCAAGUAGUGAGAGCGGCGGACGGGUGAGUAAUGAAUGGGGAUAUGCCUGAUGGAGGGGGAGAACUACUGGAAACGGUAGCUAAUACAGCAUAACAUCAGAUGAACCAAUAUGGGAUUAGCUUGUAGGUGCGGUAACGGCUCACCUAGGCGACGAUCCCUAGCUGGUCUGAGAGGAUGAUCAGCCACACUGGGACUGAGACACGGCCCAGACUCCUACGGGAGGCAGCAGUGGGGAAUAUUGCACAAUGGGCGCAAGCCUGAUGCAGCCAUGCCGCGUGUAUGAAGAAGGCCUUCGGGUUGUAAAGUACUUUCAGUCGGGAGGCGUUACCGACAGAAGAAGCACCGGCUAACUCCGUGCCAGCAGCCGCGGUAAUAC